Synchiropus splendidus (mandarinfish) is the source of this 5833-nucleotide RNA transcript. It is a transcript of the gene named NHL repeat containing 2, with no coding region annotated. The transcript is spliced from 14 exons. The record is from RefSeq and is a predicted model, not a curated record. NCBI's taxonomy places the organism in Eukaryota, Metazoa, Chordata, Actinopteri, Syngnathiformes, Callionymidae.
GACCGCAUCGGCAAGUGUCAGACUGUAACGCCAGAUCUUGCACUGACAGCUCGUAUACCGUCACGCUGUACUCCGUCGUUUCAGUUAUGGCGUCUCAGUGUACCCUCUCUUCCCUGUUUGUGGCCCAAAACCAACUGGAGUCAGACUUGUACGGAGCUCAGUCUCAGCAGGAGAAGGAAAAAAUUGUUCACGCCUAUUUGGAGAGAAUGGACGAGCGUGAGGACCUAAAGAUCCGCGAUUUUCAGACGGGUCUGGAAUGGCUGAACACAGAUGGACCACUGUCACUAAACAAGGAGCUUGCUGGGAAACUGGUUCUGCUGGACUUUUUCACUUACUGUUGUAUCAACUGUUUGCACAUCAUGCCAGUCCUGCACAGAAUUGAGAAGAAACAUUCUGUCACAGAUGGACUGGUGAUCAUUGGGGUCCAUUCUGCUAAAUUUCCCAAUGAAAAGGUCCUGGAAAAUGUCCGCAAUGCAGUACUCCGAUACAACAUCAGUCACCCGGUGGUGAAUGACAGCAAGGCCGACAUGUGGAAUGACCUGGAGGUCUCCUGCUGGCCUACUCUUGUGCUGCUCAGCCCACAAGGCAGCCUACUUUUAUCCUUGGUGGGCGAGGGUCACAGUGAUAGGCUGAUGUUCUUCAUUGAUGUGGGGCUUCAGUACUACAAGAAAAGGCAACUCAUUAAGACUCACUCAGUGGCAAUUAAGCUCUACAGGGACUCGCUGCCUCCAAGCAUCCUCUCUUUUCCCGGAAAGCUGUCUGUAGAAAACGGCACAAAGAAACUUGCCAUCGCUGACACAGGACAUCACAGGAUUCUGGUGGUUUCCUUAUCUGGGCAGCUGCUGCAUAUCAUUGGAGGAACUCAACCUGGAAAACAAGACGGCAGCUUGACUGGCUCCAGCUUCAACUCCCCGCAAGGUGUGGCUAUGAAAGGGGAAAUUAUAUAUGUUGCAGAUACAGAAAACCAUCUGAUUCGCAAGAUUGACCUUUCAGAGGGACAGGUCACCACACUAGCUGGUGACGGCACUCAAGGCACAGACAAGGAGGGUGGAAGAGUGGGGCCCCAGCAACCAAUUAGCUCCCCUUGGGACGUCACUCUUGGUUCUACUGACAGGGAUGGGCACAUUCUGUGGAUCGCAAUGGCUGGAACCCAUCAGAUUUGGGCUUUGUUUCUUGCAGAUGGGAAGCUGCCUAAAGGAAGCUUCUUCAAUGCAGGGACAUGUGUGAGGUGGGCUGGCAGUGGCAAUGAGGAAAAUAGGAAUAACUCCUACCCUCACAAAGCCGGCUUUGCUCAGCCCUCAGGCUUGGCUGUUGCACCAGAGGAUCCCUGGAACUGCAUGUUUGUGGCUGACAGUGAAAGCAGCACCAUUCGGAUGUUGGCUCUCACGGACGGAGCUGUCAAGUCGCUGGUUGGAGGAGAGAGGGAUCCACUGAACCUUUUUGCUUUUGGGGAUGUGGAUGGAAAAGGAAUGGACGCUAAACUACAACAUCCUCUCGGUGUGGCCUGGGAUAAAGAACAAAGUAUACUCUAUGUGGUUGACUCCUACAAUCACAAGAUAAAAGUGGUGGAUCCCAAAACAAAGCACUGCUGGACCUUGGCAGGCUCUGGAGAGGCAGCAGACAAUAUCAGCCCUGACUUCAGCAAGUGCUCUUUCAAUGAACCAGGGGGGAUCUGUGUGGGCACUGGAGGCAAACUAAUCUACGUUGCUGACACGAACAAUCACCAAGUCAAAGUGCUGGACAUGGAGAUCAAGACCAUCUAUCCGCUCCCUAUUUCCAUGGACUGCACUGACUCGUCAACUUCAAAAGGCUCUUCUCCUCCUCGAGUGCCACUGUUGCCUAAAUCUGCCGCCAGGAUAGACCUGGCACCUUUAUCAGUGUCUGCAGGCCAGACUCUGCUUGUGUCGCUUAACUUAUCGCUUCCUGAGGGAACCAAGCUAACAGCAGGUGCCCCGAGCUGCUGGACGUUGUCAUCUGACGAUGCAGAUUGGCUGCUGGGUGGUCAAGUUCUGAGUGGUGACAUUGUCGAUCUGUCAAAGCCCCUUUGCAUUUCGACCCAAAUUCCAUCACAGCUGAAAGAUCAUGAAACUCCAAGACAUCUAUCGUUGAGUGUAUGGGUGUACUAUUGCUUCGAACAAGGUACUGCCUGUAUGAUGACAGCUGCAUCAUUUUCACAAGUUCUGCAUUUGAACAGUAGUACAGAGUGUGGAGAGGUUGUGGUUGCCAUCUCACACAUCUUCUGAUGUUCCUUCACAGUUAUGUUGCUCUUGCUCUUCUAUUAUACAAGUGUUGAUCUUGAUCAGGAGAUCACAGGGACUUUUGUCAGGGCAUACUGUAUUUUCUAUAUUCUAUACUAUUUUGUUGGAACUCAUUGAGUGCCUAUAAAAUGAGGGUUUGGGUUAGGUUGGUGAGCAAAUUAAAAACGUAUGUAUGUAAAGCAGCAAAUAAUCAAGAAUUGUAAGUUUUGCUAGAUCACAUGUUGAAAUAGCCCAUGUUGUAGGAAGCUUUUGCGUUCUCAAAACGAUACCUAACAUACCGAUGACAUCUCAUUGCUCGAGCACUGAUACAGAAUUAUGAUGGUGAUCGAGUAGGUAAGUGUCUACUGUCCAUUUCUGGAAUCUGUCUCCAAAAUUAAUAAAGGAUACAUUUUGUGUUCAAAUAUUGGUUUAAUAAAUAUAGACACUGAGAGUUGUUUUGCAGUGUGUGUCUGUCUGGAGACUUAAGUCAAUAGAGCAUAUUCCUGAAUCGCUAUGUGGGUCACCUUUUAUUUGUAGCCUACUUGACUUGGGUAUAAAGCGUGAGCUCUUAAUAAUUCUUUGCAGUUACAACAAUUCAUCUGUUUCAGCUGCUCUUAUAUUAAGAACUUUUGGCUGCUGUCUGCAUGCAUGUAAAACAUUAACUGGGUGAAUACACCCCACCACUUCCUGCCUGUAACAUUAAAUAAAUGUUGUGGGACAGAUUUACACAGCACAGCAAAUGUCUUUCAGUGGUGAGAUCUCCACCAAAAUUCCCUUUCAUUCACUUGAACUUGAUUGCACAGUUUAGUCAUGCUACCAUCAAAUCAAUCAGUUUCUCUAAACUUUGUCUGGGUUCAGUGGGCAAGCUGAGUUGGAAUAGUUGCGAUUCUAUGAUCCUUUUUUUAUCGAUAUGCCUGGUUUCUUUCAGAAGCUCAGGUAAUUGACUGUGAUUGUGACUGUCUCGUUUGGUGCCAUUAAUGGCUUGUGUUCAUCGGUGCCUUUUCACAAGGGGCAAGAGCUAAUAUUCACCUAAUCCCCACGUUUCCCAGCGAGAAAAUGACGAGAGGAAAACAACAGGUUGGGAUUCAACAUGGAGGAAAAACAUGAGGUGGGAAAGUUCCAAAAAAGGAAUAUGUUGGAAAUGCAGCAAAUUAACUGGAUAAACUGGAUAUAUUUUCUAUUCACAUUUUCUUAUAGUCAUAUUCAUCAUUGUAUUAUGCUGUUUAAAUGUAUUUCAAAACAUAUUUUCACAUUUUCCUGUCCAUGUCGCCAUACCCAAUCCCUUCUUUAUUGCCUUUAUACCAGUCCAGUGGAGAGUGGAAACUUUAUUUGUGCUGUCGUAUUUUCACAAUGGAAUGCAACGCCUCCAAUUCCCAUUGGACAUAAGAUAAUAAGCUGAAGCUGCCAAAGCCUGUUGUGAGGAGCAUGAGGAUCUGGACAAGUGAAGCUAAAGAGGAGCUGCAGGCUUGUAUGGAGACCACAUACUGGGAGGUGUUCAGGGCUGCAACCAAUAAUCUGGAUGAGUAUACAGACACUGACUCCAUGGAUCAGCUACUGUGAAGAGUGCAUAGUUCCAACGCACACCAAGACUUUCUGACCAGCCGGAGUCAGCGCGUGUGGCUGGGGACGACUGUCUCCGACACUCAACAUUGGGUCUCCUCAGGGCUGUGUUCUCUCUCCAUGGCUCUUCUCCCUGUACACCAACUGCUGCACCUCCAGCCACCAGUCCGUGAAGCUGAUCAAGUUUGCGGAUGACGCCACCAUCAUCGAGCUCAUCUCAGCUGUCAGCUGACAGGCGGGAGGCUGAGCGGCUGGUGUCCUGGUGCUCCACAACAACCUGGAGCUCAACGCCCAGAAGACAGUGGAGAUGGUCAUGGACUUCAGGAGAGUCACAGUUUCUCUGUCCCAUGUCAUGUUGGCUGGUUUUCCCAUUCCUAUUGUGGACUUCUUCUGCUUCCUAGGAACCACCAUCACAGAGGACCUCAAAUGGGAGCCAACCAUCAGGUCGCUCAUCAGGAAGGCAAAGCAGAGAAUCUUCUUCUUGAGGCAGCUACGAAAACUAUGACUGCCGACGAAGUUGCUGGUGGAGUUCUACACAGCCAUCAUCCAGUCCAUCCUCAACUCCUCCAUCAUUGUCUGGUGCAACAGCGCCACCUCCAGGGACAAGAGCAGACUGCAGCGCAUCGUACGUUCUGCUGAGAAGGUGAUCGGUUGCAGCCUGCCACCUCUUCAUGACCUUGUAUGUCUCCAGGACCCAGAGAAUUGCAGGUCGGAUCAGAGUGGACCCUUCUUACCCUGGUCAUGGACUGUUUGUCCCUCUUCCCUCCCUUUUAUUGACAGCACUUUAUUCCAAAGUACUUUCCUAGUUGGUGGGAUCCCCACUGCCCAUGGCAACAAAUUGGAUUCAGAUUCUGAUUAAGUGUUACAUACUGUACAGUAUGUUCUGGUUGCAAGUUGGUCAAUGUGUGAAGUGGUUUGUUGCACUCAGGUCCCACUUGGGCAAAUCCCAUUGAUGAAAAAAAAAAAAAACAUCAACUAAGGAGCAUACAGAAGAAAUUUAUUUAGAAUUUAAAAUAAAAAGGUUUACAUCAGCCUCAUAUAGUUGGUCACAAUAUCCCUCAAUUAAAAGACAAGAUUAAAUAAAUUUGGCUAAAUUAUCCUGAAAGUGAUUCACACAUUUAUUGUUUUCAAAUGUCUAUCAUUCUGAGCACAGCAUCCUUCACCAUUGUGAUAAAACCUGAAAAUGCGUUUUCAAACUGUACAAACUGUAUAAAACAAUCUGGCCUGGCACCAGAUUACAGAGCUUUUACACUGGUAUGUGUGGUGGUUCAAUGUUAUGUAUGUAUUUUUUUCUCCCCAGGACAUUCAUGUGUAUAUGGUAGACAGAUAUCAUGCCAGCCAGACAGAGUGGCAGUACAGCAACGCUGUUUGAAGCAGCGAUUCACCAGGAAGCACCUUGAAAAAGGCUCUGUAAAGUUAGACUUGGUCCAAAUGUGCCAACCAAAUUGGUCCUUGUGAGACAAGUGACAUGAAAACACAACCAAGAAAAACCUCCGUACUGUUGUGUAAAGUUGGCGUGUACAGUAUGAAUACAGUUUUGUCAGUACACAGAGAUGGUCAAUCACAUAAAACAUAACAAUUGAACAUAGAAACGACUGAUAAAAAUUAUUGUGCUGGACCUGGACUUGGUGGAGUUGGACAGUGGGUUAUCACCAUUUUACUGUCACAGUUCAUCCUGAACUUAAUAAAUGUCUUUAAAAUGUUAUUUAUUUCAGAUAUCAUAGCUGCCUCUUUCACUUACAAAUAUCACAGCAUUGUGUCAAUACACAAUUUUCUGUUUGUAAUUUCAGUUACAUCUCAUAAGUUCACAAAAUGGGAGCUCUGUUUGAGAUUGAAAUGGUGACAAGAAUUACAAAAAUGUCUCAUGUGCUGUGCCCAUUUUGGGCUUGAAAUAUUGGUGUUUAGUCUGUGGCCGAUGCAUCGUAAUCAUGACAGUGACCAACUCCAGUGAUGGAUUCACAGAUGCUGAUGGAUAUAAACGUUCAGAUCCAGGCUGAGUCGUUGGAAAAAAGUCCUUGACUGAACGUGAGUGGUUU